This 404-nucleotide ribosomal RNA is filed under the name uncultured bacterium. RNAcentral describes it as "bacterial SSU rRNA". It matches the Rfam family "Bacterial small subunit ribosomal RNA", at positions 355 to 776 of the family's 1533-position model. The record is from RNAcentral.
UGGGGAAUAUUGCGCAAUGGAGGAAACUCUGACGCAGCAACGCCGCGUGAAGGAAGAAGGCCUUCGGGUUGUAAACUUCUUUGAUCGGGGACGAAAAUGACGGUACCCGAGGAACAAGCCACGGCUAACUACGUGCCAGCAGCCGCGGUAAUACGUAGGUGGCGAGCGUUGUCCGGAAUUACUGGGUGUAAAGGGCGUGUAGGCGGGGGAGCAAGUCAGAUGUGAAAUCCCGAGGCUUAACUUCGGAGCUGCAUCUGAAACUGUUUCUCUUGAGUGCUGGAGAGGAAAGUGGAAUUCCCAGUGUAGCGGUGAAAUGCGUAGAGAUUGGGAGGAACACCAGUGGCGAAGGCGGCUUUCUGGACAGUAACUGACGCUGAGGCGCGAAAGCGUGGGGAGCAAACAGG